This 129-nucleotide long non-coding RNA is filed under the name Daphnia pulicaria. Its description in RNAcentral is "uncharacterized LOC124312553". The record is from RNAcentral. Lineage: Eukaryota; Metazoa; Arthropoda; Branchiopoda; Diplostraca; Daphniidae.
CCUAAGUUUGCCCAAUCAAUUUCUUCUACCCUACCAUCGGCAGAUAUAGCAUUUUUGCCCAAGGUAGAUAAGGAUGACGUAACAAACGAAAUUCAGAUGGAAGAAAUUGCCGCUUAAGCUACUUGGGUA